Molecule: transfer RNA, 64 nt
Filed under: Apatura ilia (lesser purple emperor)
Lineage: Eukaryota; Metazoa; Arthropoda; Insecta; Lepidoptera; Nymphalidae
Also listed under: 1 other name
Description: tRNA-Phe
Source: RNAcentral
AUUUAAAUAGCUUAAAAAGAGUAUAAUAUUGAAGAUAUUAAGGUGAUUAAUAAAUCUUUAGAUA